ACCCCCUUAGUAUAUAGUACAAGUGACUUCCACUCACCAGGUCUUAGGUUUCACCUAGGAGGGGGUA
RNAcentral lists this transfer RNA (67 nucleotides) under Cyrtopodion scabrum. Its description in RNAcentral is "tRNA-Gly". Lineage: Eukaryota; Metazoa; Chordata; Lepidosauria; Squamata; Gekkonidae. The record is from RNAcentral.